RNAcentral lists this ribosomal RNA (253 nucleotides) under uncultured bacterium. Its description in RNAcentral is "partial 16S ribosomal RNA". It matches the Rfam family "Bacterial small subunit ribosomal RNA", at positions 524 to 776 of the family's 1533-position model. The record is from RNAcentral.
UACGAAGGGGGCUAGCGUUGUUCGGCAUUACUGGGCGUAAAGCGUGCGCAGGCGGCUUUUCAAGUCAGUGGUGAACGCCCGGAGCUCAACUCCGGAACUGCCAUUGAAACUGUUUAGCUAGAGUACGAGAGAGGUGAGUGGAAUUCCCAGUGUAGAGGUGAAAGUCGUAGAUAUUGGGAAGAACACCGGUGGCGAAGGCGGAUCACUGGCUCGUAACUGACGCUCAUGCACGACAGCGUGGGGAUCAAACAGG